This is a long non-coding RNA of Cucurbita moschata (crookneck pumpkin), 394 nucleotides long. RefSeq lists it as uncharacterized. The transcript has 2 exons. Lineage: Eukaryota; Viridiplantae; Streptophyta; Magnoliopsida; Cucurbitales; Cucurbitaceae. The record is from RefSeq and is a predicted model, not a curated record.
CCAGUUCCGUUCCCUCCAAUUUUCCCAAUAUGCCUUUCCCGCGGGUUCUUCGAAUACUGAUGAUCCGACCCUUCAACGUCGGAGCUAUGUUAGAUCCAACCAUUUUAGCAUCAGCGAUACGUGUACUACAAUAAGAUGAAGGAGAAGAACAUCUUCAAGUGUCUAUUUACUCGCAAACUCAUGGCCGUCGAAGCCUCCAUCGAUUGCGCCGAGAGAAAUGGGGAUUCUAUGACCGUGAAAGAUGGUCACAUUCGUAGAUUGGAGCUGUCUCUUACAGGGUUAGGGUUAGGGAUUUGGAAUCAUGUUCUUCUCUGAUGUGUUGAUGUAUUCUCAAUGGAUGUCAUAUUCAAAUCAUGUUUGAAUAAGUGGAUCGUUUACCGGACAUUUUAAUUUA